UGUUUCGGCAAGGGGGUCAUCCCGACUUACCAACCCGAUGCAAACUGCGAAUACCGGAGAAUGUUAUCACGGGAGACACACGGCGGGUGCUAACGUCCGUCGUGAAGAGGGAAACAACCCAGACCGCCAGCUAAGGUCCCAAAGUCAUGGUUAAGUGGGAAACGAUGUGGGAAGGCCCAGACAGCCAGGAUGUUGGCUUAGAAGCAGCCAUCAUUUAAAGAAAGCGUAAUAGCUCACUGGUCGAGUCGGCCUGCGCGGAAGAUGUAACGGGGCUAAACCAUGCACCGAAGCUGCGGCAGCGACGCUUAUGCGUUGUUGGGUAGGGGAGCGUUCUGUAAGCCUGUGAAGGUGUGCUGUGAGGCAUGCUGGAGGUAUCAGAAGUGCGAAUGCUGACAUAAGUAACGAUAAAGCGGGUGAAAAGCCCGCUCGCCGGAAGACCAAGGGUUCCUGUCCAACGUUAAUCGGGGCAGGGUGAGUCGACCCCUAAGGCGAGGCCGAAAGGCGUAGUCGAUGGGAAACAGGUUAAUAUUCCUGUACUUGGUGUUACUGCGAAGGGGGGACGGAGAAGGCUAUGUUGGCCGGGCGACGGUUGUCCCGGUUUAAGCGUGUAGGCUGGUUUUCCAGGCAAAUCCGGAAAAUCAAGGCUGAGGCGUGAUGACGAGGCACUACGGU
This 672-nucleotide ribosomal RNA is filed under the name Escherichia coli. RNAcentral's name for it is "partial 23S ribosomal RNA". It matches the Rfam family "Bacterial large subunit ribosomal RNA", at positions 911 to 1583 of the family's 2925-position model. Lineage: Bacteria; Pseudomonadati; Pseudomonadota; Gammaproteobacteria; Enterobacterales; Enterobacteriaceae. The record is from RNAcentral.